This 254-nucleotide ribosomal RNA is filed under the name uncultured bacterium. RNAcentral's name for it is "partial 16S ribosomal RNA". It matches the Rfam family "Bacterial small subunit ribosomal RNA", at positions 524 to 777 of the family's 1533-position model. The record is from RNAcentral.
UACGUAGGGUGCAAGCGUUAAUCGGAAUUACUGGGCGUAAAGCGUGCGCAGGCGGUUAUAUAAGACAGUUGUGAAAUCCCCGGGCUCAACCUGGGAACUGCAUCUGUGACUGUAUAGCUAGAGUACGGUAGAGGGGGAUGGAAUUCCGCGUGUAGCAGUGAAAUGCGUAGAUAUGCGGAGGAACACCGAUGGCGAAGGUAAUCCCCUGGACCUGUACUGACGCUCAUGCACGAAAGCGUGGGGAGCAAACGAGG